RNAcentral lists this transfer RNA (77 nucleotides) under Desulfobulbaceae bacterium. RNAcentral's name for it is "tRNA-Met". It matches the Rfam family "tRNA". From Rfam's summary of the family: Transfer RNA (tRNA) molecules are approximately 80 nucleotides in length. Their secondary structure includes four short double-helical elements and three loops (D, anti-codon, and T loops). Lineage: Bacteria; Pseudomonadati; Thermodesulfobacteriota; Desulfobulbia; Desulfobulbales; Desulfobulbaceae. The record is from RNAcentral.
CGCGGGGUGGAGCAGCACGGUAGCUCGUCGGGCUCAUAACCCGAAGGUCAGAGGUUCAAGUCCUCUCCCCGCUACCA